RNAcentral lists this ribosomal RNA (1670 nucleotides) under Bacteroidales bacterium Bact_15. Its description in RNAcentral is "bacterial LSU rRNA". It matches the Rfam family "Bacterial large subunit ribosomal RNA", at positions 402 to 2179 of the family's 2925-position model. Lineage: Bacteria; Pseudomonadati; Bacteroidota; Bacteroidia; Bacteroidales. The record is from RNAcentral.
CGGUACCUGAGUACUGCGAGGCACGUGAAACCUCGUGGGAAUCUGGGAGGACCAUCUUCCAAGGCUAAGUACUAACCGACGACCGAUAGUGCACCAGUACCGUGAGGGAAAGGUGAAAAGAACCCCUGUCAGGGGAGUGAAAUAGAAUCUGAAACCUGAUGCUUACAAGCUGUGGGAGCACCCUUGUGGUGUGACCGCGUGCCUUUUGCAUAAUGAGUCAGCGAGUUAAUCUGUACUGCAAGGUUAAGCGUAAGUGGAGCCGUAGCGAAAGCGAGUCUGAUAAGGGCGUUUAGUAGUGCGGAUUAGACCCGAAACCGGGUGAUCUAUCCAUGAGCAGGUUGAAGCAAGGGUAAAACCUUGUGGAGGACCGAACCAUUAACGGCUGAAAACGUUUUGGAUGACUUGUGGAUAGGGGUGAAAGGCCAAUCAAACCCGGUGAUAGCUGGUUCUCCCCGAAAUAUAUUGAGGUAUAGCCUCAUGGAUUGUCUACCGGAGGUAAAGCACUGACAGAGCUAGGGGUCCUACCAGAUUACCAAACUCUUUCAAACUCAGAAUGCCGGUCAGAUGUACCAUGGGAGUCAGACAGUGGGUGCUAAGGUCCAUUGUCGAGAGGGUAAGAGCCCAGAUCAACAGCUAAGGUCUCCAAAUCUAUGCUCAGUGGUUAAGGUGGUGACGUUGUAGAGACACCCAGGACGUUGGCUUAGAAGCAGCCAUCGUUUAAAGAAAGCGUAAUAGCUCACUGGUCUAAUGACGUUGCGCCGAAAAUGUAACGGGGCUAAGCAUAGUACCGAAGCUUUGAAUUCCACGUAUGUGGUCUGGUAGGGGAGCGUUCUUCAUGGGCUGAAGGUGUGUUGUAAAGCAUGCUGGACUGUGGAGAAGUGAUUAUGCUGACAUGAGUAACGAUAAAACGGGUGAAAAACCCGUUCGCCGUAAACCCAAGGUUUCCUGGGUAAAGGUAAUCUUCCCAGGGUUAGUCGGUCCCUAAGGUGAGGCUGAAAGGCGUAGCUGAUGGGAAACGAGUUAAUAUUCUCGUACUUGUACAUCUGUGCGAUGGAGGGACGCAGAAAGGUAGACAGGCCGGGUGUUGGUUGUCCCGGUGCAAGCAGGUAGACGUGUGGUACAGGCAAAUCCGUACUGCUCUACGUCGAGACGCGAGUCCGUGACCGUAAGGUCUGAAGCUGUUGAGCCUAUACUGCCUAGAAAAUCUUCUAAGUUUAGGAUGUGCAAACCGUACCGCAAACCAACUCAGGUGGGUGGGAUGAAUAAUCCAAGGCGCUCGAGAGAACUCUGGCCAAGGAACUCGGCAAAAUAACCCCGUACCUUCGGAAGAAGGGGUGCUCCUCCGGGUGAAGUUAAUUCACUUAACGAGCCUGAGGGAGCCGCAGAGAAAUGGUGGUGGCGACUGUUUACUAAAAACAUAGGUCUGUGCGAAGUCCUAAAGACGAGGUAGCGAAAUUCCUUGUCGGGUAAGUUCCGACCUGCACGAAUGGCGUAACGAUCUCCACACUGUCUCGGCCAGAGACUCGGUGAAAUUGAAGUCGCGGUGAAAAUGCCGUGUACCCGCAGAAAGACGGAAAGACCCUGUGCACCUUUACUAUAGCUUGACAUUGGGAUUUGGAACUGCAUGUGUAGGAUAGGUGGGAGACUGUGAACUCUGUACGCUAGUAUGG